CCUACGGGAGGCAGCAGUGAGGAAUAUUGGUCAAUGGACGAGAGUCUGAACCAGCCAAGUAGCGUGAAGGAUGACUGCCCUAUGGGUUGUAAACUUCUUUUAUAUGGGAAUAAAACAGGGUAUGCAUACCCUCUAGUAUGUACCAUAUGAAUAAGGAUCGGCUAACUCCGUGCCAGCAGCCGCGGUAAUACGGAGGAUCCGAGCGUUAUCCGGAUUUAUUGGGUUUAAAGGGUGCGCAGGCGGAAUGUCAAGUCAGCGGUAAAAUUUCGGGGCUCAACCCCGUCGUGCCGUUGAAACUGGCGUUCUUGAGUGAGCGAGAAGUAUGCGGAAUGCGUGGUGUAGCGGUGAAAUGCAUAGAUAUCACGCAGAACUCCGAUGGCGAAGGCAGCAUACCGGCGCUCAACUGACGCUCAUGCACGAAAGCGUGGGUAUCGAACAGGAUUAGAUACCCCAGUAGUC
RNAcentral lists this ribosomal RNA (459 nucleotides) under uncultured bacterium. RNAcentral's name for it is "partial 16S ribosomal RNA". It matches the Rfam family "Bacterial small subunit ribosomal RNA", at positions 338 to 795 of the family's 1533-position model. The record is from RNAcentral.